UUACGCUGUUAUCCCUAAGGUAACUUUUUCUUUUGCUCAGAAACUUCUGGGUCCAUUAGACUCAAAUCAUUAUAUUAAUCCCCUGUUAUAAAAGAGGGGAGGUUGCCCCAACCAAACCUAGGUAAAGCUCUAUAGGGUCUUCUUGUCCCACUUACUAAUUAAGGUCUCUUCACCUUAAAAUCAAUUUCGAGUUAAAUAAAGAGAGACAGUCUCUCUGUCGUCUAGCCGUUGAUACUAGCCUGCAAUUAACAGGCGAAUGAUUAUGCUACCUUUGCACAGUCAGUAAUACUGCAGCCGUUUAACUAUUGUCUAGG
RNAcentral lists this ribosomal RNA (314 nucleotides) under Amphipholis squamata. RNAcentral's name for it is "partial 16S ribosomal RNA". Lineage: Eukaryota; Metazoa; Echinodermata; Ophiuroidea; Amphilepidida; Amphiuridae. The record is from RNAcentral.